RNAcentral lists this transfer RNA (90 nucleotides) under Alphaproteobacteria bacterium. RNAcentral's name for it is "tRNA-Ser". It matches the Rfam family "tRNA". Rfam says of the family: Transfer RNA (tRNA) molecules are approximately 80 nucleotides in length. The record is from RNAcentral. Lineage: Bacteria; Pseudomonadati; Pseudomonadota; Alphaproteobacteria.
GGAAGAGUGACAGAGUGGUCGAUCGUGGCAGUCUCGAAAACUGUUGUGCGUGUAAGCGUACCGGGGGUUCGAAUCCCUCCUCUUCCGCCA